UCGUCCUCCAUCACUUCAUGCAGGCACGGGCUUUUAUCUUAACCCUCAACCACCAUACCACCACUUAUUGAUUAUAUGUCAGAGGAGUGGGUAGAGAUUGGAGAGACAUAUUGAAUCAAACACCACAUUUAUAUGUCUAGAGGCUGCUGCAGCCCUUCGUUGAUCUGAAGGGGCUCUACUUCGUGGGAUACUUUGUGUUUGGUCUGGGCAUCAGUCUGAUCAACUUGAUCCCCAACAUCAUCACCACCCUCAUCCUGUCUUCGGAGUCAUGUCCAGCACCUUGUACACCAUCCCCUUCAACCUCAUCUCAGAGUACCAUCAACAAGAGGAGGUGCAGAGGAACCUGGGGAAAGGUAAUCUUGCUGGACAGGAUCGAGGUAUCGGGCAAUGGAUUGUGCAGCGCUCACGUGUAUGAUGCAGCUGGCUCAGAUCAUCGUAGGGGCGGGACUGGGUCGUUGGUCAACAUGGCAAGAAGUGUGAUUGUGGUGGUCCUCUUCACAUCAACAAUGUCUUUACUUGGUUGUCUGUUCAUCGCCGUCCACAUCAGAUACGUGGAAUCAUCUCUUUUAAUAAAGAUAUUUACGA
Long non-coding RNA from Oncorhynchus nerka (sockeye salmon), 585 nucleotides. RefSeq lists it as uncharacterized. The record is from RefSeq and is a predicted model, not a curated record. The transcript is spliced from 3 exons. NCBI's taxonomy places the organism in Eukaryota, Metazoa, Chordata, Actinopteri, Salmoniformes, Salmonidae.